GACGAACGCUGGCGGCGUGCUUAACACAUGCAAGUCGAACGGAAAGGCCCUGCUUGCAGGGUGCUCGAGUGGCGAACGGGUGAGUAACACGUGGGUGAUCUGCCCCUUACUUUGGGAUAAGCCUGGGAAACUGGGUCUAAUACUGGAUAGGACCAUGCUGUAGGUGGUGUGGUGGAAAGAUUAGUUUCGGUAAGGGAUGAGCUCGCGGCCUAUCAGCUUGUUGGUGGGGUAAUGGCCUACCAAGGCGUCGACGGGUAGCCGGCCUGAAAGGGUGGACGGCCACAUUGGGACUGAGAUACGGCCCAGACUCCUACGGGAGGCAGCAGUGGGGAAUAUUGCACAAUGGGCGCAAGCCUGAUGCAGCGACGCCGCGUGGGGGAUGACGGCCUUCGGGUUGUAAACUCCUUUCAGCCAUGACGAAGCCCUUGUGGUGACGGUAGUGGUAGAAGAAGCACCGGCUAACUACGUG
Molecule: ribosomal RNA, 469 nt
Filed under: uncultured bacterium
Lineage: Bacteria
Description: partial 16S ribosomal RNA
Rfam family: Bacterial small subunit ribosomal RNA
Source: RNAcentral